UUAAGCGACUAAGCGUACACGGUGGAUGCCCUGGCAGUCAGAGGCGAUGAAGGACGUGCUAAUCUGCGAUAAGCGUCGGUAAGGUGAUAUGAACCGUUAUAACCGGCGAUUUCCGAAUGGGGAAACCCAGUGUGAUUCGUCACACUAUCAUUAACUGAAUCCAUAGGUUAAUGAGGCGAACCGGGGGAACUGAAACAUCUAAGUACCCCGAGGAAAAGAAAUCAACCGAGAUUCCCCCAGUAGCGGCGAGCGAACGGGGAGCAGCCCAGAGCCUGAAUCAGUGUGUGUGUUAGUGGAAGCGUCUGGAAAGGCGCGCGAUACAGGGUGACAGCCCCGUACACAAAAAUGCACAUGCUGUGAGCUCGAUGAGUAGGGCGGGACACGUGGUAUCCUGUCUGAAUAUGGGGGGACCAUCCUCCAAGGCUAAAUACUCCUGACUGACCGAUAGUGAACCAGUACCGUGAGGGAAAGGCGAAAAGAACCCCGGCGAGGGGAGUGAAAAAGAACCUGAAACCGUGUACGUACAAGCAGUGGGAGCACGCUUAGGCGUGUGACUGCGUACCUUUUGUAUAAUGGGUCAGCGACUUAUAUUCUGUAGCAAGGUUAACCGAAUAGGGGAGCCGAAGGGAAACCGAGUCUUAACUGGGCGUUAAGUUGCAGGGUAUAGACCCGAAACCCGGUGAUCUAGCCAUGGGCAGGUUGAAGGUUGGGUAACACUAACUGGAGGACCGAACCGACUAAUGUUGAAAAAUUAGCGGAUGACUUGUGGCUGGGGGUGAAAGGCCAAUCAAACCGGGAGAUAGCUGGUUCUCCCCGAAAGCUAUUUAGGUAGCGCCUCGUGAAUUCAUCUCCGGGGGUAGAGCACUGUUUCGGCAAGGGGGUCAUCCCGACUUACCAACCCGAUGCAAACUGCGAAUACCGGAGAAUGUUAUCACGGGAGACACACGGCGGGUGCUAACGUCCGUCGUGAAGAGGGAAACAACCCAGACCGCCAGCUAAGGUCCCAAAGUCAUGGUUAAGUGGGAAACGAUGUGGGAAGGCCCAGACAGCCAGGAUGUUGGCUUAGAAGCAGCCAUCAUUUAAAGAAAGCGUAAUAGCUCACUGGUCGAGUCGGCCUGCGCGGAAGAUGUAACGGGGCUAAACCAUGCACCGAAGCUGCGGCAGCGACGCUUAUGCGUUGUUGGGUAGGGGAGCGUUCUGUAAGCCUGUGAAGGUGUACUGUGAGGUAUGCUGGAGGUAUCAGAAGUGCGAAUGCUGACAUAAGUAACGAUAAAGCGGGUGAAAAGCCCGCUCGCCGGAAGACCAAGGGUUCCUGUCCAACGUUAAUCGGGGCAGGGUGAGUCGACCCCUAAGGCGAGGCCGAAAGGCGUAGUCGAUGGGAAACAGGUUAAUAUUCCUGUACUUGGUGUUACUGCGAAGGGGGGACGGAGAAGGCUAUGUUGGCCGGGCGACGGUUGUCCCGGUUUAAGCGUGUAGGCUGGUUUUCCAGGCAAAUCCGGAAAAUCAAGGCUGAGGCGUGAUGACGAGGCACUACGGUGCUGAAGCAACAAAUGCCCUGCUUCCAGGAAAAGCCUCUAAGCAUCAGGUAACAUCAAAUCGUACCCCAAACCGACACAGGUGGUCAGGUAGAGAAUACCAAGGCGCUUGAGAGAACUCGGGUGAAGGAACUAGGCAAAAUGGUGCCGUAACUUCGGGAGAAGGCACGCUGAUAUGUAGGUGAAGNUGGAGCUGAAAUCAGUCGAAGAUACCAGCUGGCUGCAACUGUUUAUUAAAAACACAGCACUGUGCAAACACGAAAGUGGACGUAUACGGUGUGACGCCUGCCCGGUGCCGGAAGGUUAAUUGAUGGGGUUAGCGCAAGCGAAGCUCUUGAUCGAAGCCCCGGUAAACGGCGGCCGUAACUAUAACGGUCCUAAGGUAGCGAAAUUCCUUGUCGGGUAAGUUCCGACCUGCACGAAUGGCGUAAUGAUGGCCAGGCUGUCUCCACCCGAGACUCAGUGAAAUUGAACUCGCUGUGAAGAUGCAGUGUACCCGCGGCAAGACGGAAAGACCCCGUGAACCUUUACUAUAGCUUGACACUGAACAUUGAGCCUUGAUGUGUAGGAUAGGUGGGAGGCUUUGAAGUGUGGACGCCAGUCUGCAUGGAGCCGACCUUGAAAUACCACCCUUUAAUGUUUGAUGUUCUAACGUUGACCCGUAAUCCGGGUUGCGGACAGUGUCUGGUGGGUAGUUUGACUGGGGCGGUCUCCUCCUAAAGAGUAACGGAGGAGCACGAAGGUUGGCUAAUCCUGGUCGGACAUCAGGAGGUUAGUGCAAUGGCAUAAGCCAGCUUGACUGCGAGCGUGACGGCGCGAGCAGGUGCGAAAGCAGGUCAUAGUGAUCCGGUGGUUCUGAAUGGAAGGGCCAUCGCUCAACGGAUAAAAGGUACUCCGGGGAUAACAGGCUGAUACCGCCCAAGAGUUCAUAUCGACGGCGGUGUUUGGCACCUCGAUGUCGGCUCAUCACAUCCUGGGGCUGAAGUAGGUCCCAAGGGUAUGGCUGUUCGCCAUUUAAAGUGGUACGCGAGCUGGGUUUAGAACGUCGUGAGACAGUUCGGUCCCUAUCUGCCGUGGGCGCUGGAGAACUGAGGGGGGCUGCUCCUAGUACGAGAGGACCGGAGUGGACGCAUCACUGGUGUUCGGGUUGUCAUGCCAAUGGCACUGCCCGGUAGCUAAAUGCGGAAGAGAUAAGUGCUGAAAGCAUCUAAGCACGAAACUUGCCCCGAGAUGAGUUCUCCCUGACCCUUUAAGGGUCCUGAAGGAACGUUGAAGACGACGACGUUGAUAGGCCGGGUGUGUAAGCGCAGCGAUGCGUUGAGCUAACCGGUACUAAUGAACCGUGAGGCUUAACCUU
Molecule: ribosomal RNA, 2892 nt
Filed under: Escherichia coli
Lineage: Bacteria; Pseudomonadati; Pseudomonadota; Gammaproteobacteria; Enterobacterales; Enterobacteriaceae
Description: bacterial LSU rRNA
Rfam family: Bacterial large subunit ribosomal RNA
Source: RNAcentral